GUCCGGGGCCAGACACGAGACUGACCCGGAAAUACCGCCAAGCCUUUCAGCAAACCCUGUUCUUCUGGAGGGAGGAACCCUGGGGGAUGGGCAGGUGGCAGAGUGAGAAAAUCUGGGGGUGAGAACAGAAUUGGGUCGCAGGGGCCCUGUGGCGGAGGCAGAGCCCUGGCUUGCGUUUCCACAGAAGAAACUCUUCCUCGGUUGACUUUCCAGAAAAACUGUGAGUCUUCUGACAUUUCAGCAGACACCAGUUUUUCCUGCUGUGGCUUUCGGUGAGAGGGCUGGGGAAGGAUUGGUUCUUUCGGGGAUCCCCUGGCCAAUUCUGCAUUUGCUGGGUUUGUCGGGCCGCUGUUAACAGUGCGCGGUACUGACGCUCCCGCCUGGCUCUGGGCCACUCCACAAACUCAACUCACCAAGAAGCUUUCUCUGCGGUUCACUGCACACUCACGGGCUUCACACUGGCAACUUCAGUUUAGGAUUUUACAAGUGGCACCAAAGGCAAGAAUUUGGUCAGACAUGCCAAUCCAGAUUAGAGGAAAUGGAACGCAGAGGAGCUGGACAUCCUCACCUCUCAUGGUCUGCAAGUCUUUGAUUCCCCUUCUCCUCCUCCUCCUUCCAAACCCCUCCAACACUCUUGAACAUAUCUCUGACUUCUGUUUAUCUUACACUUGCUGACAAAUCUCCUUGGAAGCUGGUGGUCCAUUUAGCCAUGCCACAGCCAUAUCAUGGCCCCCAAGACACACCACAGCAUUGUAAGGGCCCCGAAGAAAACAUAUCAUAAAAUUAGAUAAAGCUG
Molecule: long non-coding RNA, 796 nt
Filed under: Homo sapiens (human)
Lineage: Eukaryota; Metazoa; Chordata; Mammalia; Primates; Hominidae
Description: HSALNT0042805
Source: RNAcentral